Molecule: ribosomal RNA, 752 nt
Filed under: uncultured Oscillospiraceae bacterium
Lineage: Bacteria; Bacillati; Bacillota; Clostridia; Eubacteriales; Oscillospiraceae
Description: bacterial SSU rRNA
Rfam family: Bacterial small subunit ribosomal RNA
Source: RNAcentral
CCGCAUAACAUUGCGAUGUCGCAUGGCAAUGCAAUCAAAGGAGCAAUCCGCUGAGAGAUGGGCUCGCGUCCGAUUAGAUAGUUGGUGAGGUAACGGCUCACCAAGUCGACGAUCGGUAGCCGGACUGAGAGGUUGAACGGCCACAUUGGGACUGAGACACGGCCCAGACUCCUACGGGAGGCAGCAGUGGGGAAUAUUGCACAAUGGGCGAAAGCCUGAUGCAGCAACGCCGCGUGAGGGAAGACGGUUUUCGGAUUGUAAACCUCUGUUUUCGGUGACGAAGAAUGACGGUAACCGAGUAGGAAGCCACGGCUAACUACGUGCCAGCAGCCGCGGUAAUACGUAGGUGGCAAGCGUUAUCCGGAAUUACUGGGUGUAAAAGGGAGCGCAGGCGGGAUAGCAAGUCAGCGGUGAAAAUUAUGGGCUCAACCCAUAAACUGCCGUUGAAACUGUUAUUCUUGAGUGGAGUAGAGGCAAGCGGAAUUCCGAGUGUAGCGGUGAAAUGCGUAGAUAUUCGGAGGAACACCAGUUGGCGAAGGCGGCUUGCUGGGCUCUAACUGACGCUGAGGCUCGAAAGUGUGGGAGCAAACAGGAUUAGAUACCCCUGGUAGUCCACACUGUAAACCGAUGAUUGCUAAGGUGUGGGGGGUCUGACCCCCUCCGUGCCCGGAGUUAACGCAAUUAAGCAAUCCACCUGGGGAGUACGGCCCGCAAGGUUGAAACUCCAAAGGAAUUGACCGGGACCCCGCACA